Helianthus annuus (common sunflower) is the source of this 1673-nucleotide long non-coding RNA. RefSeq lists it as uncharacterized. The record is from RefSeq and is a predicted model, not a curated record. The transcript has 3 exons. NCBI's taxonomy places the organism in Eukaryota, Viridiplantae, Streptophyta, Magnoliopsida, Asterales, Asteraceae.
GAAACAUUUUGUUGUUGUUAAUUGUUAAUACGUAAAUCUUAUAUAUUGAUGAUAUAUGAAAGUUCGAGAUGUAAAAAUGUUUGAUUUGUCUGUAAUAAGGAUUUAUGAUAGACAAAUUAGCGGGUUGAGCAAUAAUAGGUGCAAACCGGGUAAAUGGGUGCACAAUUCCAUAAGUGCUAAGCCCGGGGUUACGGGUAAAGAAACAUUAAACACACAAGCCGGUAGUCGAAGCGAGAAUGCGAGUAGAUUAAAGGAUUUGGGAACGGGUUGUCAAAUUGAGUAUUAAGUCCCAUGCAUAGGAAUGUGAUUGAAAUAGGAUUUAUUGCUUAUUAGCGAACUAACCUCGUGUAUGUGUUUAUACAGUUUAAAUCAGUUGAAGUAAUAAGUUACUAAACAUUGUCUUGAGUAUGAAAUGAGAAUGCAGGUAUUCUUUUAACGUCGUUAUCAGGGUUAAAGAAUUUGGAAUGCACGAAUGUACACGGAAAGCUUAUUCGUGGGGAUUAGUAUGGGAAGAAGGAACGCGGACUGGCUAUUGAUUACGUAGGUCUAGUUUAGGAAUGAUGUCAUUGUAUCUAACCGAUGUAUAUGUAUGUGGUGAAUGCAGGUGGCGUGGACUUAGCAUCAUUACGAAGAAAAGAAGGUUUGAAGAUCGAGUCAAGAGCGAGGGUUGUACGGGAAGGAUCGGUCGCAUAAUUUGACAAAAAAAAUAUAGGUCUUGAAGUAUUAAUAUAAUGGGACGUGGUAAAUUCCUUUUUAAUGAGUGUAUGAAUUGUUGUCUUGGAACCUUCCUGUAAGUAUUAUGUCUAGUAAAGAACGAAAUUUUUGGGCUCUUAUUUUUCGCUGUGUCGUAUUUUAAGUUAUUACACGUUAGUCUUACAGGGAAUUGUUCUUAUUACGAACGGGCCAUGCCCGAAUUUUGUUAAAUAAUAGUAUGAUAAUAGUCAUUUUCGGAAUAUGAAAUUUGGGUGUUACAAGUUGGUAUCAGAGCCCUGGUUUGAGGGAAAUCAAGUAGAAGGAGGUGAAUACUUGAACUCAAACCUGUGUGCUCUUGUGACAAGGAACCCAUACAAUCCAAGACUCGAUCAAGGCCUAAAGUUAAAAGCGAAUGGAAGUAUGUAUUAAAUUAUGUAUUUGAAGGAAACUAAUAGUAUGUUAUGUGAAGGGUAAGCGCAAUUGCUUGGAAAGGAUGAUCUGUGAAUGUGGUCUAGGACCGGCACCAAGGCAUGUAAUAAGACAUAUUGACCCAGGUACGUAAAUUUAGCAUAUGGGUGCAUGUAAUGGUAAAAUUUAUCAAAUGAAGGAAAAAUUUUAAUGAAAUAUAAUAAUAGGAUGGAAACGAAGUUAUGAAAAUGUUACACGUGCCGAAACCUAAUUCUUCGGGCAUAAACCCUAAUUCAAGAUAAACCUUCAAAUUGAAAGGGGAAACUGGCUCUAAUCGGAUGCAUGGACCUAGAUUCUUAAUCAUCUAGACUUUCUACACAUGAGCUCGACUCUUGACAAGCUAUAUGGGAUCUUGGAGAAGAAUGGGUUAAACGGAUCAAGUACGCAAAGAAGCUCUAAUGGACACAAAGUGGCGUGGACUUAGCAUCAUUACGAAGAAAAGAAGGUUUGAAGAUCGAGUCAAGAGCGAGGGUUGUACGGGAAGGAUCAGUCACAUAAUUUGACAAAAAAAA